AUUCACAGUUGCCUUUUGAAAUAUUUGCGAUUCCAGAGCAGUAACCAUUUGUGUUUAGUCAAGUACUGAAAGGUUGAGCCACAGACUAAUUGGAUAGCAAUAGAUGAACAGAUUAAAGUACCAUAUGCAAAAACUGCUGAGAGCAGAAGAAAAGCACGAAUUCCUCAAGCAAACUAAGAUUAACAGGGUAUAUCCUAAAUCAAUUUGGAACGUACGUUUGCCAGUUAAUUCUAAAAGAACUUUAAACAACACUAGAAGGAUAUGCUUAAAGGUAGCUAUAAUAGAAAGUAAAAGAAAGGUUUUCGAGCUUAAAUCACAGCUGGCAGAAGUAUUGGGUUGUUCGAUG
Molecule: long non-coding RNA, 346 nt
Filed under: Androctonus crassicauda
Lineage: Eukaryota; Metazoa; Arthropoda; Arachnida; Scorpiones; Buthidae
Source: RNAcentral